Molecule: ribosomal RNA, 402 nt
Filed under: uncultured Eubacteriales bacterium
Lineage: Bacteria; Bacillati; Bacillota; Clostridia; Eubacteriales
Description: uncultured Clostridiales bacterium partial 16S ribosomal RNA
Rfam family: Bacterial small subunit ribosomal RNA
Source: RNAcentral
UGGGGAAUAUUGCGCAAUGGGGGAAACCCUGACGCAGCAACGCCGCGUGAAUGAAGAAGGCCUUAGGGUUGUAAAGUUCUGUUUACGGGGACGAUAAUGACGGUACCCGUGGAGGAAGCCACGGCUAACUACGUGCCAGCAGCCGCGGUAAUACGUAGGUGGCAAGCGUUGUCCGGAUUUACUGGGCGUAAAGGAUGCGUAGGCGGAUGUUUAAGUGAGAUGUGAAAUACCCGAGCUCAACUUGGGUGCUGCAUUUCAAACUGGACAUCUAGAGUGCGGGAGAGGAAAGCGGAAUUCCUAGUGUAGCGGUGAAAUGCGUAGAGAUUAGGAAGAACACCAGUGGCGAAGGCGGCUUUCUGGACCGUAACUGACGCUGAGGCAUGAAAGCGUGGGGAGCAAACA